Molecule: ribosomal RNA, 253 nt
Filed under: uncultured bacterium
Lineage: Bacteria
Description: partial 16S ribosomal RNA
Rfam family: Bacterial small subunit ribosomal RNA
Source: RNAcentral
GACGUAGGGCGCGAGCGUUGUCCGGAUUUAUUGGGCGUAAAGAGCUCGUAGGCGGUCUGUCGCGUCUGCUGUGAAAACUCGGGGCUUAACCCCGGGCCUGCAGUGGGUACGGGCAGACUAGAGUGCGGUAGGGGAGACUGGAAUUCCUGGUGUAGCGGUGAAAUGCGCAGAUAUCAGGAAGAACACCCGUGGCGAAGGCGGUUCUCUGGGACGGUACUGACGCUGAGACGCGAAAGCGUGGGGAGCAAACAGG